This 1446-nucleotide ribosomal RNA is filed under the name Triticum aestivum (bread wheat). RNAcentral's name for it is "partial small subunit ribosomal RNA". Lineage: Eukaryota; Viridiplantae; Streptophyta; Magnoliopsida; Poales; Poaceae. The record is from RNAcentral.
AUGGCAGGCAUGAAGAAGGGGAAGGGGAAGGGGAGGGGGAAGGAGGAGCGACGGGUGACCUUUGCACCGGAAUCCGGGGAGCGACGGGUGUCAGCAACAAGUCAAAAGAGGAACGUGAAUGCAGCUGACUCGUCAGAAAAAUUAGUGAGUCUUGGAAAUAGAACCUCAAGGAAGCGGAUUAGAGAAAUUGAUGCAGAUGGCCCUGGAGCUUACAAGUCAGCGCCAAGAAACCUUAAAAGUACUAAAGAUUCUCAUUCCUCAAACCACAUGUCCUCAAAGUUUGUACCGCUGGCAGGAAUUCCCGCACACAAAACCAGGAACCUUACGGACAUGGCUGUGAGGGUGAAAGGGGACGUGGAGGAGGGGCGAGUAAUGAAGUUUGGGCCGAAAUUCAUCAGGGUAUUCUCCACUCCAGAAUACGGGGAGCGAUUGAAAAUUCCACAAUCAUUCAGUCAGUUCCUUCAGAAUCAACAAACUGGGUCGGUUUUACUAAGAGGUCAAAGUGGGAAUAAAUGGCUUGCGGAACUUGCUUCAGACACCGAAGGAUUUUUCUUUAUACAAGGAUGGAAGGAAUUUGUUAUAGAUCAUUCCAUCGGGGAAGGAAACCUCUUAUUAUUCUGUUAUGAUGGAUACGGACAGUUCUCAGUUAAUAUAUUUAAUGGAACGUGUGUUGAGAAGCCGUCAGCUUUUCAUGCUAAGCCUUCAAAGGAUUUUAAAAAAGAGAGUGAUGAAGAUGACAAUGGAGUAGCUCCCCAAGAAGAGAAUAAUGGAACCACAAAGAAGCUGACUGGAGAAAUUGAUGCAGAUGGCUCAAUGUUGAAGAAGUGUUGUAAUGCAUCAGUUAAGGGUAAGCAAAAAAUGCCUGAAUCUUUGGUUGGUACUUGUAAUGUGUUAGCAACAAGACAGAAGAGGAACAAGAAUGCAGCUGACCCAUCAGAAAGGUUGGAGAUUACUGGAGCUUACAGGUCAGCGCGAACAAGCCUUAAAACUGUCAGGAAAGUUCAAAGGCAACAUGCAGUAGUAUCACAAAGGUCGCCGGUAAGUGAAUGGCAGAAGAAGUACGCUCUUCAAAGGGCAGAAAAGUUUACAUCUAAGUACCCUUCAACUCUGAAAGUAAUUAAGGCGGCUAGUGCCUACAACUCAUUUUUCAUGGUCAUCCCAUCUGAAUUUGUCAGGGAGCAUCUCCCCCACACCAGCAAGAAGUUGACACUGUAUGAUCCGCAAGCAAUGCCCUGGCAAGUUGAAUACGUCUACUGCAGCCAUCGUUCCGCCGGGGCUUUCAGCAGCGGCUGGAGCCAGUUCUCAAUCGGCAACAAUCUGGAGAAGUUCGAUGUCUGCGUCUUCGAGCUCCUCGCCAAGGAGACCAUCAAGGUGCACAUCUACAGAGCUCAGCUCCUGAUAGAACAGUACCUCCACCAAGAACUUAGCGCUGCAAUCCAAAACUGA